UCUUUAAUGGAGAGUUUGAUCCUGGCUCAGGACGAACGCUGGCGGCGUGCCUAAUACAUGCAAGUCG
Molecule: ribosomal RNA, 67 nt
Filed under: Paenibacillus polymyxa
Lineage: Bacteria; Bacillati; Bacillota; Bacilli; Caryophanales; Paenibacillaceae
Also listed under: 10 other names
Description: partial 16S ribosomal RNA
Rfam family: Bacterial small subunit ribosomal RNA
Source: RNAcentral